CCCACUGACCUGAAGUGCUUGGGGGGAUAGAGUAGAGCAGGUCUCCUUUCUUCCAAAAAAUGCCUGUAACAGAGGGGGCGUUUUCUCUACGAUUUCUUUCCUAGUGAAUUAGCCAUGAGAAGAGGAGAAGAUGUGGAUAGAAAAAAGACCAGAAAACUCAGAGAAGGUCCGAAUUCAAAUCCCACACCCACUUCUUUUUUGUAAACCACUUUAUUGAAGUAUGAUUGACACACAAAAAGUUGUACAUAAUUAAUGUAUACAACUUGAUGAGUUUAGAGAUAAGUAUAAACCUAUGAAACCAUCACCACAAUCUGUGCAUAAACCUAUCCAUCACCUCCAAAACUUUCCUCCUACCCUCUUAUUUAUUACUUUGUGUGUGUGAUAAGAACGCUUAAUAUAAGACCUACCCUAUUAGCAAAUUUUUACCUAUACAAUACAGUAUUGUUAACUGCGGGUACUGUGCUAUAUAGUAGAUCUCUAGGAUUUCUUCAUCUUGCAUAACUGAAACUUUGCACCCUUUGACUAAUAUCUCCCAUUUCCCCCUCUUCCCAGCCCCAAGCAACCACCAUUUCACUCUCUGCUUCUAUGAGUUUGACUCAUAUCAUGGUAUCAUGUAAUAUUUGACCUUCUGUGUCUGAUUUAUUUCACUUACUGUAACGUCACCUAGGUUUAUCCACAUUGUCACAGAUAGUAGGAUUUCCUUUUUUAAGGCUAAGUAAUAUUCCAUUGUAUGUAUACACAACAUUUUCUUUAUCCAUUCAUCCAUUAACGGAUGUUUAGGUUGCUUUCAUGUCUUGACUAUUGUGAGUAAUGCCGCAAUUAAUAUGCCACAUCCACUUCUUAUGAGCUAUAUAAACUUAGGCAAAUCACUAAACCUCAUUUGCAAAAUUAAGAAAUAAGAUCAUUGUGAAUAUUAAAUAAGAUCAAACAUAUGAAAGUUAUUUAGAAAAUGUAAAGGAGUAUGCAAAAUGUAAAAUAUUGUAGUUACUGAUGACCCUCAAGAACUUAGCAUAUCUAUAAUCAUCUCAUCAAAGAGGCAUUAUAAUAACAUUUUUAAAGCAUGAGAUUUUGAGAAGAUAUAGAUUAGCUUCUCUCUCUGCUUUGAAUUUGCUAAAUUAGGUUUGGUCGCAAGUGACAGAAACAUAUAAUGAUGGUGUUUUCGUUCUCUCACUUAUAGAAAUCCUAGGAGAAUUCCUACAGCUGGUAUAGCAUUCCAUGGUGACAGACAGCCAGGUAGGGUUGCCAGAUAAAAAGCAAGACACUGAGUUAAAUUUGAAUUUCAGAUAAACAUUAUAUAACAUUUUAGUAAAACUAUGUCCCAUGCAAUAUAUUUUGGGCCUCCUCUAUUUUUAUUUGCUAAAUCUGACAACUCUAGAUUUCCAGCAGAAACUACACACUUCUUUUAUUGAUUUCUUACUUCACUUUCCAAGAUGGUGGCAUUCAUAUCAGAAGGCUUUCAUAUUCCAGAAAGAAAAGAUGAAGAAAAAAGCAAUGUGUACAUAAACACUGUCUCUUAAUAAAGGCUCCCAAAAGCUCUCACACUACAAUUCCACUUCCAUCUUAUGGUUCAGAACUUAGUCACACAGUCACAUAGCUACAAGGAAGCACGGAGAGUGCAGUCUUUACUCUGGGCAGCGGUAUGCUCACCUAAAAGUUCUCUUAUUGUGGAAGUAGGAAGGACUCAACAUUGCGGAACAACUACCAGACUCGAAAACAUGCCUGUUAUCAAAAGUUUCAUGUUGUAAACAUCAGUGUACUUCUCUAAAACAAAGUUCCCUUUUCAUCACACUUAAUUGUUUUCAAGAUUAAAAAUAGAAUAACGUAUGCAGACUUGUUUUAUUACCAGAUAAAUAUUUAAUUCUUUCACAGGCAGCAUCUACAGGCAGUAACAAUAAAGUGUAUAAACUGUCAGGGCACUGGGGAUAUACAAAUUAAUGAGACAUGUGGUCCAGAGAGACAUGUGAACAAUGACACGAUGAUGUGUCAUGAGAAAAAUAGAAGAAGGAGUCAGGAAAAAGAAGAAAGGAUGACCCUUCUUAGCAGAAAAUUAAAAUGCAAAGGCAUGGAAUCAUUGUAGAGCAUGGUGAGUUAGGGGUGGAAUGAUGGAUGUAUAUCAAGGAUGUAUGAGUGAGAGGCAGCCAUAAAAGAUAAUAAGACAUUGUAACAGCACAGUGAUAGAGAUAUGCUCUGGAUACUCAUGGAAAUAAAAAGGAGGAAAUUUGGAGACAUUGAAUGAAGGGGAUUCAGCAAAGGCUCCCUGGAGGAAGUGCCCUGGAACAGCACCGACAAAGGCACAGAGGUGAAAGACAGCAUGAUGGCUGCAGGAACUUCACAUCUCAGUGUUGCUGGCGUGUCAAGAAACCCAACUGAACACGUAAGCAGAGAGCCCAGUCAGUUCCAGAGCUGUGAAUUCGGAACUCCACUCUGUGGCAUCAUCCUGGACACAAAGUACUGACCCUCGCCUUCCAGACCUCUGCUUUCACCUGACCAGGGAUUAUCAAGGCACUCUGUCCAAAUAAAUGCAGCGUUCUCUUUAGUAGGAAUUGAGGUAAGUACAACUUUCCCCAUCUUAUCAUUCAAUAUUUUAUCGGAUCUCAAUGCAUGGAUGUAUAAUCUCUGAAUCAGACUAAUAUCAACAUACCCUAAAGUACCAGACCCAUUUAGUGGAACAAAACCCCACAGCACUGAUUUUUAUUGUGUGUGAUAGGCAGCUUCUAAAAUGCUUCUCAAUGAUCCCCACUUCCUGGUGUUCAUGCCCCUAUAUAAUCCCCUCCCCUUGAGGGUGGGCUGCACCUAGUGACUUGCUUCUAAUAAACAGAAUGUGACAAAAGUGAUGAGAUGUCACUUCUGAGAUGAAGUUACAAAAAGACUGGCUUCUGUCUUGCUCAUCCUCUCUUGUUCUCUCACUUGCUGAUCUGAUGAGAGCCAGCUGCCAUGCUGUACGCUGCCCUAGGGAAGGGCGCACGUGGUAAGGAACUGAGGGAGACCUCCAGCCAGCAGCCAGGAGCAAUGGAGGCCCUCCAUCCAGCAGCUCACAAGGAACUAAAUCCUGCCAAUGACCACUUGUAUGAGCUUGGAAGCAGCCUCGAGAUAACUACAGCCCCAGUCAACACCUUGGUUGCAGCCUGGCCCCCCAGGAUCUUAAAUAAUAAAUAGUUGCUGUUGAAGUUUCUAAUUUUGGGGGUAAUUUGUUAUGCAGUAAUAGAUACCUAACAUAAUGUGGAAAAAGAAUUAGCUUUAAAACAGAAAUUAUAAAGUGUAUGACAGGUGUUUCUAGAGCACACCUAGCACUGUUAGCCCAAAGCACUGAACGAGACUUAGUAAGACCAAAGCCUAGAUUACCGGAUGGAAAUAACAUGUGAUUCUGGUAUAACAUGUGAUUCUUCCUCUAUGCUGAUUUUCCCAGAUUCAUCUGUGUUGUCCUCAAGAAACUAGAAUGCAAAUAUAAACAUAGUUACAGAGUCUUAAAAUGUUUUUUUAAAAACUCUAUUAAGUAGAGACAUAUCUGCCACGUACAUGGCUUCUCAUCUCCUCACCUAAGCUUUAUGAAUUCCUACCACAUGGUUGAUAAGUUUCUGUUACACCUAAAUCUGUAUGAAAAGGUGAAUUUGGGAGGCUACUUGUCAGCACAAUUUGUUUUAAACUCACGAAUUGUUUUUUUUCAGAGAUUGGCACCUGAGCUAACAUCUGUUGCCAAUCUUUUUCUUUUUUUCCUUCUUCUUCUCCCCAAGCUCCACAGUACAUAGUUGUAUAUUGUAGUUGCGGGUCCUUCUAGCUGUGGCCUGUGGGAUGCCACCUCAGCAUGGCUUGAUGAGCAGUGCCAUGUCUGUGCCCAGGAUCCAAACCAGUGAAACCCCGGGCCGCCGAAGCAGAGCGUGCCAACUUAACCUCUUGGCCACGCAGCCGGCCACUAAACUCACAAAUUUUAAAAAGGGAAAAGUAGCUGAGUUUUGAGUUUUCUCUAAAUCAGUAUUUCUUUAGAUAUAUUCCAUGGAAAUCUAAUUAUACAGGCUAUUUAGAGGUGGUAUGUUUUAAAAGGGUUCCAUUAUCAAAUAAGUUUGAGAAAAACUUGGUGAGAUUAAGUUAAAACAGGCUUCUUUUGGGCAUGACAUCUCUAAGCCUUUGCUCAUAAAUGAGUGCUGUGAAUCUCCAAGAAACAGUAUGUUAUGCAGUGUUUUUAAAGCCUAUUUGAACGAAGGACCGAUGUUUCUCCGUGAGCAUGCCCUGGAAUCACGGUUGGGAAAAACCUGAAAAUUACGAGCUUACCUGAUGGCCGACAUCUGCGUGCUGUUCCCAGCUACUGGAAGAUUCCACCCCUCAAAUGUGUCAAAGUCCUCCUCUCCAAACCUCCCUCACGGAUUGUAAGCUGUAUUAGGCAAGGGACUGGACAUCCACAUUUAAAUUGGUUUAAUAUCUCUGAUCACUGCCUGAGAGCAACUUGAGAAGCUGGAACUUUCUCCUUUAUCUUGUGCUGCCCACAGUGCCCAGCACUGACUUAUAAACAUGCUGUUCAGUAAGUGCUGGGGGAGAGGGAGGAAGGAAUGAAGAGAUGAGGAAAAGGAACUGGAGAGAAAGGCAGAAGAAAGAAGGGGCCAGAUGAGCAAAAAGAAGGAUGACGAGAAGAAGGAAAGAAGGAAGAAGAGGACAGAAACUGGUUACUCUCUCAAAUAAGAAUCAGAAAUUUAUAUUCUGUAAAGUUUGCUCACAUCUACUGUUUGUGUUUUGUUUUGUUUCGCUUUGUUUACUUAGCAUCAGUUCUUUGGUUCACCUGUACUAAGACCAAGAAAGCUUUGUGUAGUUGAGAGUAGAGUUAUUGGUGAGGGCACCAGCAGCUACACCAGCUCCAGAGAGAUUGGGGCUGGAGCUGUGAGAUAGGGGAGCCGGACAGCCAUCCCAUUAAACGUAUCCCUGCACCUAAUCCCUUCCUGUAAUUCACACUGGACAAUCUCUUUACAGCCUGCUAACACCUGGGGCACAACCAAAUCUUCUCCAUUUCUCUCUGUAAUCCCUCCAAAGGUAUUUUCUGAGUUUUAGUCUUUUGUGCUUUAUCCACUGGUUUCUGAGAUCCUGAAUACCUUCCUUUCAACUGCAUUUCAUAGAUAGCUGAAAAGCCUUUUGCUGCCAUACUCCCUACUUUGUACACAUCCUUAAGUCUUUUGUCCUGGCUUCCUUACCUGUCCCAUAAAAUUUAAAUUGAGUCGAUUAGUUUCGAUCAUAGGGCCAAAGAGGCUAAGGUCAAAGAUUAAAUACCAAAAAAAGCUUAUAAAUCUCUGGGCUUAAAAACAUUAGAGCAUAAAAAGAACCUUAACAAUGACUUAGCACCACCCUCUUAUUUUACAGAUGAGAUCAUUAAGGUCCGGAAAGAUCAAGUCUGCUCAGAAACAAACAACUAUACAUGGCCACAGAAUGACCUUUAGUCUUAGGCAAUCAUCUUGAAAAUUCUUGUUUUUCAUUUCCAGAAGUCAGGCAAGAAUGCAGAUUACAUCACGUAAUCACCACCCUCCUGCAGGACUCCAGGAAACCUCAAGCCCGUUUAGGUUCUCUUCCUCUAAUUACCAGUACCUUUCUCACUGAAGUAUUUGUCCUAAUCCUUAACCCUGACUUGCAUUUCUUUAUUUUGUCAACUGAGGAAGAGAAACGCCAUAUAAAGGUCUCAGAUAGCAGGUGGAGGGUAGCGGUGGAGAUGC
This is a long non-coding RNA of Equus caballus (horse), 5687 nucleotides long. Lineage: Eukaryota; Metazoa; Chordata; Mammalia; Perissodactyla; Equidae. The record is from Ensembl.